This is a long non-coding RNA of Piliocolobus tephrosceles (Ugandan red Colobus), 2742 nucleotides long. Lineage: Eukaryota; Metazoa; Chordata; Mammalia; Primates; Cercopithecidae. The record is from Ensembl.
UGACAAUCCUUACGAAUUAAAAAACGUUUCUUACAAAGUGAUGAGUGACCUGAGUUCGUUUAAUAUGUUUUCGCUUUUUAGAAAAUACAGCAAUAGUGUUAUAAUUGCUUUACAACGAAUUUUCUUUUGUAUGCAAAUGUAUUCACUGGUUGUGUGUGCGAAGCAAAAAAAAGAAUUUUUCCAAAAAAAUGGCAUUAAUACUAUAAACGAUACAUUUCAUAAAGAAAGAGGUACAUUGGAUAUGGCUGAUUCAGAUGAUAAAACAUGUAGUUAUUGUUCGUGUAGUAAUCAUAAAUGUAACAACAUAAAUGAAAUAAUAACUGAUAAUGGUUCUACAACAGUAAAAUCGAAUAAAGUAACAUACAAUAGUUAUAGCAGUAAUAACGAAAUUGAAAAUUAUAAAGAUAUGAUGAUGGGUAGUAACAACCAACAAAUGUGUACCUGUCAUGGAUACAUACAAACUAAGAUGAAUACCAACUCAAAUGAUACUAAUAACUUUAUUAAUAUAAGUUCAAUCAAAGGUUUGGAUGAGGACAGAGAAGGUUUAUGUUUGGAUAGCCUUUCAAAAAACAAUGAACAAUGUGAACGUGUAUUUAAACAUUUAAAAAAUUUAACCCCCAAUCAAAGAAAUUGUUUAUAUUAUUAUAAAAAUACAUUAUUUUAUGCCGAUAGUCAAUCUGAGUAUGAAAAUCGAAUGGGGGGUGAUUUUGGUAUAUGUGGAAAGUGUAGUAAGUCGUGCGAAGGUAGUAAUGUAGUUGGUAAAAGUUGCAAUAUAGUUGGCAAAAGUUGCAAUGUAGUUGGCAAAUGUUGCAAUGGUGAUACGGUCACUACUGCUCCUACUACCACUACCACUACCACUACUACCACUUCAAACAACUGCUUCCAUAACAAAGACAACCACAUAAAAUACAAUAUUUUAAAUACAUACAAUAAAAACGAUAACUAUACCCAUUUUUUCCAACCGUUGUUACCAAGUUUGAAAGUUCUGUUACUCACUUUAAAUAGAAUAAUGUUUAAUCAGUAUAAAUGUAAUGAACCGUUCAUAAAAAUAUACGAAUUAUUAUUUAAAUGUCUUUUGUAUGAGAUUGUAAUGGGAAAAGCAUCAUUAUUUCAAAAAAUAAAAACUUUGAAAAAAGUAGUUAGUGGUAGUAAUAACGUACAAUAUAAUGUAUGGGAUAAUGUUAAAGAUGAUGAAAAAGUAAAAGCUGUAGAAAAAGCAAAACGUCAAAUAAAAAUAUAUUCUGAUGACUUAAAUGACCUUCUUUUGUUUGAAAAUAUAUGUUAUUCUUUAUUCUGUUUUAAAACACUAUUCGAUUCUGAACAGGUUAGUGGUAAUGUAUUAGAAACAGCUUCUGAUUCUACUGCUCCUGUUGUAUCAUUCACUUUUUCAAAUACAUUACCACUAACCUGUUCAGAAUCGAAUAGUGUUUUAAAACAGAAUAAAAAAAAAAAUAAAAACAAAAUAAAAGAACAUAUUAAGGAACAUGUUAAAGAAUAUAAGGAUGAAUUACAUAAAGAACAGAUGGAAGAUGAUAGUAACCAUUCUAUGUAUACUCAUACUACCACAGCUACAUUUACAGUCGAUAGUUAUAAUGAUGAUAUGUUUACGAGUUUAGGACUUCCAGAAUUUGAUACAAGAGGUGAUAAUAAUAUACGUUUUAUUGAAAAUACAGUUUUAAAUUAUGAUGGAGUAUUAAAAGGGAUUGAUAAAAUAAUAAAUAAAAAUGAUCAAGACGCUUUUACUAUGUAUGGAUUAUUUCAUGCUAAUAAAAAAAGUAAUGUACCGAUGCGUGUAAAUUUAAAAAUUAGUGUUACAAUAAGUGUUCUUAAUAAAAAUUCUUUGAAUGGAGUUCGUAGUACUGCUCGUCCUGCUCGUUCACUUGGUAAUAGUACUAACAUAAAAACUAAUGAUUUAUUAACUCGUAAAAUUAAUUCCAAAGCAUUGAGAAAUACAAUUUUUAAUAAAAUUCUUACAUCUAAGCAGAUUAAUGAUGCAUUGAAAAAUUUACAAAUGCAUACUACAACAAACUUUACUGAAUCUGAUAAGAAGUCAUGUAAUUCGAUUUUUGACAUUUGUUGUAGUUGUAAUUGUAGUAAUAAUAAUAAUAGCAGUAAUAAUAAUAGCAGUAAUAAUAAUAGCAGUAAUAAUAAUAAUAAUAAUAAUAAUAAUAAUGAUAAUAGUCCCAUUUCCAAAACAGAGUUUAAUGAUUCAAAGAAAGAACAUUAUAGUUCUAAUUAUAAAAACGUCCUUAAGAUGACAACAUCUGAAAGGGCUAAACAUCAAGCAAUGGACUAUUUACUUUAUGAUUCUGUAACACAAACAAAAGGAAAUUUUUUUUCAAAAUUUUAUAGUAUGUGAUAAAAAUAUUUAUAAAGCUAUAAAAAAAAAAACUUAUGCUGAUAUGUCCUAUGUUUUAUUUUUUUAUAUGAAUUGUUAUAAAAAUUUGAGAAAAGGAGAAUUGAUGGAAAUACCUUUAUAUUUGGAGACAUAUAUGGAAACAACUACAUCUGGUAAUAGUAAUAAUUUCGAAAAAAAAUGAUAAAGGUAUGACUGUUAGCGGUAACAAUGCUGAUUAUUAUAAAACAGAAAAAAAGCAAGAUGGUAUAAAAACUAGUACCACUAGCAGUAGUAACAAUAGUAGUAAUGGUAGUAGUACCGAUCCUAGUGGUAAUAGUAUACGUUUUGGGCUUAAAAAACAUAUUCACAAAAAUAAAUGUAAGGAUCCAGAAAAUGAAAAUACA